AUGAUCAGUUCUGCGGCUUGCACUCAUUUUACUGCCAUGAAUGGUGUAUUGUUCAAUCCGCCAGUAGCUAGCGGAUGUCAUGUUGUGAUUAAGGUUUACCACCUUCCUCUACUAAAUCGGUUCGUUUUAUGUGACAUUCUUAGAAUACUAUGUGCUUACUCUGUUUGGUUAAAGCAUGGUGAAUCUGAUGUUGACCGACAUUAUUUGUGUUGCACAUUUACAACAAUAACUGUCAGACAAGAGAAUUGCUCACCAAUCCUUAGGUUCAGAAGCAUGUGUACCGAUUUUUUGUUAGGCAUCAACUUUUGUUUGCAUCAAAUUAGAACUUGGGCCUUGCCUUCAUCAAAUGUCUCUAAUGCUUACCAAUAUUCAAAAUAUAGAGAUCAACACUGA
RNAcentral lists this ribosomal RNA (393 nucleotides) under Triticum aestivum (bread wheat). Its description in RNAcentral is "partial small subunit ribosomal RNA". The record is from RNAcentral. Lineage: Eukaryota; Viridiplantae; Streptophyta; Magnoliopsida; Poales; Poaceae.